AUCCCAAUGAAGAUGAAAUGGCCUCUUGAUAGGAAGUGCCGUAUGACACUUGUAAUGCAGUUGCCUGUCCAGUCCUUGGCUCUUUCUCCUCUUGACCAUGCCUCCCUCAAAUCCUACCAUAGGUUUGAGUUUCCGGGGUGUUGUUCAAAGGGGAAUUUGAAGUUCAAUGGACUUGGAGUUCAGCUGUGUGUGUGAUUUUAAAUCGGUCACUGAGGGCU
Molecule: small nucleolar RNA, 218 nt
Filed under: Musa acuminata subsp. malaccensis (wild Malaysian banana)
Lineage: Eukaryota; Viridiplantae; Streptophyta; Magnoliopsida; Zingiberales; Musaceae
Description: Small nucleolar RNA Z112
Rfam family: Small nucleolar RNA Z112
About the family: Z112 is a member of the C/D class of snoRNA which contain the C (UGAUGA) and D (CUGA) box motifs. Most of the members of the box C/D family function in directing site-specific 2'-O-methylation of substrate RNAs.
Source: Rfam by way of RNAcentral